UACGUAGGUGGCAAGCGUUGUCCGGAUUUACUGGGCGUAAAGAGCGCGCAGGCGGUCGUUCAAGUCGCGUGUGAAAGCCCCCGGCUCAACUGGGGAGGGUCACGCGAUACUGAUCGACUCGAAGGCAGGAGAGGGUAGUGGAAUUCCCGGUGUAGUGGUGAAAUGCGUAGAUAUCGGGAGGAACCCCAGUGGCGAAGGCGACUACCUGGCCUGUUUCUUGACGCUGAGGCGCGAAAGCUAGGGGAGCAAACGGG
Molecule: ribosomal RNA, 254 nt
Filed under: uncultured bacterium
Lineage: Bacteria
Description: partial 16S ribosomal RNA
Rfam family: Bacterial small subunit ribosomal RNA
Source: RNAcentral